Molecule: non-coding RNA, 93 nt
Organism: Caenorhabditis elegans
Lineage: Eukaryota; Metazoa; Nematoda; Chromadorea; Rhabditida; Rhabditidae
Source: Ensembl
AAAGAGCAGAAAAACACAAAAAAGUUAGGACUGGCAAUGUGUUUGGUCGUGGAAAACUUAACGAUUAUCCAUAAAACAAACGAAGAAGCAUGU